UCUGCCUACUACUGAAACUACAUGCACUGUAAUGGAAGCUAAAGCCUUUAUUCCUUCUGGGGAAAUGGAAGCAAGCUAUGGCUGCCAAACAUUGCAGAAGUGCAGCCAAGAAUAAUGUUUUAGAAAUGGAGGAAACUUCUUCAUCUCAAGAUGCUGUGCAGUUCACUCAAUGUACUACUGUACAGGACGGAGAGAGAAGGAGAAGGCAGUCCUGGUCAACGCUUCAUACACAGGAACCAAAAAAGGUAAUUCUUCAGAGGCAGAUUCUUCUCAAUUAAAGAAAAGAGAAAACUGAGAGCUCCAGAAACCACACAUGGCUACCGAUGAGUCAGGGACUCUAACUAUGACACAGAAAUGUUUCAGAAGCAGAAACUGGAACAAAGACACCCAAAAUAGCUGCGAUCAGAUGACUUAAGCUAAGCAAAGUAUUUAAAUUUAAAAACAAUAUGGCAAGGAUUCCCUUUUUGUAAGUACUGACAACUACAAUUCAAGUGAGUAUUAAAAAAAUGAAGCCAUUCAGUAUAGUUGCUCAAAUAUAACGGGUUUAUGUUACAACAAAUAUUUUUUACUUUUUUUUUUUCCCCCAAAAUGUUGUAUCUUACUACUAGACAAUAGUGGCAGAUGGUUAAGAGUACUAAUUUACCAAUUUGUUCAUACUAUGUAUUAGCAUUAAAUUUUAUUACUUUUUUUAUUAGUUAAAGACUUAAGAUUUUUAAAGCUCCUCAGAUGCAUUGUUGCAUGGAAGUAACUUCUAAAGUACUCGCCUUCUUUAUCAUUUAAGCCAACGUUUAUAAAUUGUCUCAUGUACUGUUUUGUAGAUUCAGUUUAUAUUUCUAAAAAGAGAACAGUCUUGUGUAUACCUAUUACUACCCCUACUCAGGCUCAACAACUGUACCUUAACUGAGCAAUCAUCCACAUGUCUAACAGGCAAAAGGAAUAUUCAUAGCAAAGUUGAGAGGUCAAUUUCCUGUAGAGUUUUCAAGCUAAAAGAUCCACCUUCUCCCCAUCUGCAGUUUUCAAGAUUGACUCCACUGAAGGGCAUUCUGUGGAUAAUUCAGUCAUUUGGGUGAAUAUGACACUUCGCUUAUCAGUGUGAAUCUCGUUCUGAUCCCUGGUCCAACCAGAAUCAUGCUCAACAAAAAUGCUCUUGGUGUUGGCCACUGGUGAGGAGUCCGGUAACGGUUUAUGUAUAACCACUGGUUAUCUGCCAAAUUCUUUCUCAGUGUACUCCAAUUCUUAUCUUCAUUCUCAGGAUUAGAACACAAAAAUCUAUGAAAAAUACUGAUAUCCCCAUUAGAAGGCAUUAACCAUCUAUUACUACUUGUAUUACGACCUCUUUUUUAUUUUUUUGUUUAACCUAGUUACCGUAAGUACAGACCAGUCAAGGUGGACUUUACAGAAUGAAUGAAUAAUCUGCCCUUAUUUUUUAAACUUGCAUACAGUCUUUCACUUUAUUUUCUUUUAGUAAAUGCUGGUAGAUCCAAUUACCCUGGUUUUGCUUAAGUUCUGUUGUCAGAACUUUCUCUCUCACCCCUUCUCGAUCUAUCCUGUAUUCUGUUGUUACUGAAGUUUGUUUCCUUCCAAUUUACAAAUUUCGUAAAUACUCCUUUGGUAUUGCUGAUUUCACUUUCUACCCCUGCUGUCAUUUAUUCUUCUCAGCUUAAGUCUGAAGAACUAUACAGUUUUAUACACAAUGCUGUAAGGUAGUAAGAACAGUCCUAGCCAGUCUGUUCCCCCAAACAUGGCCAUAGGAACUGUUUUUCUAGGUUAUAGUACUUCAGUGAAAGCAAGAGCCUUUAGAAAGAUGUGUAUGUAUUCCUCAUUUCUUUCAAAAGUAAGGUCUUUCAAAUGAAGACAAGAAAUGUAAAAGAAGCUGGAAGCACUUGAUACCCGUUUUUUUUACUACAGCUGUCAAAGGCAGAUCACUCAAGUCCCUUAAAAUUUUGGGACGUUCAAACUGACAGUGAUCUUAGAGCUUCCAGCUGUAAAGUUGGAAUCUACACCCUGUAGAUCAGCAGCAACAGCAACAACAACAUGGAUUGCUUAGAUUUGUUAUCAAAUUCCACACAAAUUUGUGGAGAAGUGACACUGAAGAUCAAAAUAAUUUUUUAAACAUUAAACCUAAUUCCAGUUUGGUUAUUUAGGUUACUUACAACAAUGUUCCAGAUAUAGGGGGAGAAAAAAAAAAAAAGUUAAAUAGAAACUCAAGUAAGUGUCAGUUACUAAAUUAAUGAACAUAUAAUGGUUAAAUUAUUCACCAAGACUUAGAAGCUCUUUUUGGGUUACAAAAAAAAUUAUCUUUA
Molecule: long non-coding RNA, 2303 nt
Organism: Aquila chrysaetos chrysaetos
Lineage: Eukaryota; Metazoa; Chordata; Aves; Accipitriformes; Accipitridae
Exons: 2
Source: RefSeq, a predicted model, not a curated record